RNAcentral lists this ribosomal RNA (300 nucleotides) under Triticum aestivum (bread wheat). Its description in RNAcentral is "partial small subunit ribosomal RNA". The stretch from base 158 to 271 matches the Rfam family "MIR1120/MIR1122 microRNA precursor family". The record is from RNAcentral. Lineage: Eukaryota; Viridiplantae; Streptophyta; Magnoliopsida; Poales; Poaceae.
AUGCAUGUCCUGCCCCCACGGUCAGUUUCUUUCUUUCCUUCUUUCUGUUCCCUCUCGCAACCCAACUUUAUCCCAUUCGUGGUCUACGUUGUCCCGUCGUUUAUAUGUGUGAUUACAAAGUUGCCUUCUUCAUGGAGAAAUUUCACCACUAUUUUAAAACAUACUCCCUCCGUCCGGAAAUACUUUUCAUCAAAAUGGAUCAAAAUGGAUAAGCAUACAUCUCUUUUUAUUUAUUUUGAUGACAAGUAUUUCCGGACGGAGGGAGUAAGAGACAAAAAAUAUUAUUUGAAAUUCGGAUAG